UCCGCAGGCGGGCAAUUAAGUCAGAGGUGAAAUCCCACAGCUCAACUGUGGAACUGCCUUUGAUACUGGUUGUCUUGAGUUAUAGUGAAGUAGAUAGAAUAUGUAGUGUAGCGGUGAAAUGCAUAGAUAUUACAUAGAAUACCGAUUGCGAAGGCAGUCUACUAACUAUAUACUGACGCUGAUGGACGAAAGCGUGGGAAGCGAACAGGAUUAGAUACCCUGGUAGUCC
Molecule: ribosomal RNA, 229 nt
Filed under: uncultured bacterium
Lineage: Bacteria
Description: partial 16S ribosomal RNA
Rfam family: Bacterial small subunit ribosomal RNA
Source: RNAcentral